UUCUCUCUCUCUCUCUCUCUCUCUCUCUCUCUCUUCGUGUGGCGAGUAUGGUGGAUCUUAAGAUUUGGAGGUUUUUGUGGUGUGUUUGCAGAUUUAUGGGGCAAGAAUCAGAAGAAACCCUAAUUCUGAGGGGGUGACUGUGUAAUUUUCUAGCCCUAAUAUUCUUUCUUCGUGCUGUGCACGUGACUGUGUGUGUAUUCUGGGUUUUGGAGGUAUACUGUUUUUUUUUUAUGAGGAAUUUAUGUUCUUGAUUUCUUUAACUGUGUGUGAAGUUUGGUGAAAUGAAGAAGAUGCUGCCGGUGGAAACUAUA
This 311-nucleotide long non-coding RNA is filed under the name Erythranthe guttata (spotted monkey flower). Its description in RNAcentral is "long non-coding RNA (EGUT_LNC000880)". Lineage: Eukaryota; Viridiplantae; Streptophyta; Magnoliopsida; Lamiales; Phrymaceae. The record is from RNAcentral.